GACGAACGCUGGCGGCGUGCUUAACACAUGCAAGUCGAACGGAAAGGCCCUGCUUUUGUGGGGUGCUCGAGUGGCGAACGGGGGAGUAACACGUGAGUAACCUGCCCUUGACUUUGGGGUAACUUCAGGAAACUGGGGCUAAUACCGGAUAGGAGCUCCUGCUGCAUGGUGGGGGUGGGAAAGUUUCGGCGGUUGGGGAUGGACUCGCGGCUUAUCAGCUUGUUGGUGGGGUAGUGGCUUACCAAGGCUUUGACGGGUAGCCGGCCUGGGAGGGUGACCGGCCACAUUGGGCCUGAGAUACGGCCCAGACUCCUACGGGAGGCAGCAGUGGGGAAUAUUGCACAAUGGGCGGAAGCCUGAUGCAGCAACGCCGCGUGCGGGAUGACGGCCUUCGGGUUGUAAACCGCUUUCGCCUGUGACGAAGCGUGAGUGACGGUAAUGGGUAAAGAAGCACCGGCUAACUACGUG
This 468-nucleotide ribosomal RNA is filed under the name uncultured bacterium. RNAcentral's name for it is "partial 16S ribosomal RNA". It matches the Rfam family "Bacterial small subunit ribosomal RNA", at positions 28 to 507 of the family's 1533-position model. The record is from RNAcentral.